GCUCAGCGUGUUCCAAGACGCAGGCCCCACCCCCGGAGGUGAAUGUGUGGAGAUAACCAGUUACCACGGGGCUCUCUAGAAGGGGUCCAGCACACAGGCAGUUGGCAGAACCCGGGAAGUACCAGCUAUUGAAAUGAACUCAAACUGCCUUAUCUAAAGACUGUGAAAAAAGAAAUGGUUCGGGUACAAAGCUUACUGCCAAGGAGUGCUCUGCCACCUCUGCCUGACAGGGACAGAAGGGAUCUUGUUGGCAACACAUUCCCAGGGUUGGAAGGGCCCCUGCGGAGCUUCAUGGCACAGGCAGAACAGAUGCUGAGAUCACUCAUGUGGAUGAGAGACCUGGCUGCCCACUCACACCACCUGGCGAGCUUGAGAUCAGCAUCUAAAACGCCCCAGGAGAACUGGGCACUGGUUCUGACAAGUUAAGAAGGCAAAAGUCUGCUGCUCUGGGGUGACGGGUGUAACUGGAAUAAACACACCCAGGGACAGAGGAUAGCUGCUCAGGAAUUUCUGGGUAAGGUGAAUCCUACUGAACAAGAAAAGCUCUCCAAAGAAGUGGCCGGCUGUGAGUGAUGGUGUAGAUGCACUGGCUUUGCGAGGGGAAUGGGGGAGUGACUUGGGUGCUGACAGCAGCCAUCACACAAGGUUUCCUGAAGAUUGACAGUCAGCGCUGACAUUGUCAUCUUUGCAAGCCCCAAGAUUAGAUCUGCUAAGUCAGUGUCUGCAAGAUCUGCCUUGAUGAGGCUUGUACUGAGUAUUUGUUGUGUGGGGCCUCCUGGCCUCCAAGUCCCUCUCUGCCGCGAUAUGACAUCUUCCUUACGAGGAAUCAUUUGGUCGCCCUUGAGGACCA
RNAcentral lists this long non-coding RNA (850 nucleotides) under Homo sapiens (human). Its description in RNAcentral is "HSALNT0397087". The record is from RNAcentral. Lineage: Eukaryota; Metazoa; Chordata; Mammalia; Primates; Hominidae.